GGGGCUGCCUGGUUUUGACAGCAUAGAUCUUUGAAGGUGUAAGCAUGCAGUGCUUUGUGUAAUCGGCACUUUAAUCUCGAAGACUCAAACUUCAAAUGGCAAUACUCAGUAUGCCAUGGCUGCCUAAUCAGUGAUUAGAUAGUCAUUCGGGCCGCACGACAGGUUAGCCUGUUCCCAAGUUGUGCCGCCGACUCAAAACAAAACAGGAUGCUGCAACAGAAGGCUGUGACUGUUGCUUAAGACUAUCCAGCUAAGGAAGCAAUUGGAGUGUCCGGUGCCUGUUGUUUCCCGACAAAUAAUGCCGGAAUAAGCAUGUAGAAAGCUUUUGGGGAUGAUGUUUGGACAGGGGUUCGACUCCCCUCAGCUCCACGG
Molecule: transfer-messenger RNA, 372 nt
Filed under: Chitinophagaceae
Lineage: Bacteria; Pseudomonadati; Bacteroidota; Chitinophagia; Chitinophagales
Also listed under: 1 other name
Description: Puia sp017307755 Standard tmRNA
Rfam family: transfer-messenger RNA
About the family: Bacterial tmRNA, also known as 10Sa RNA or SsrA, is named for its dual tRNA and mRNA-like properties. Its role is to liberate the mRNA from a stalled ribosome. To accomplish this part of the tmRNA is used as a reading frame that ends in a translation stop signal.
Source: RNAcentral